RNAcentral lists this ribosomal RNA (646 nucleotides) under Salmonella enterica subsp. enterica. Its description in RNAcentral is "bacterial SSU rRNA". It matches the Rfam family "Bacterial small subunit ribosomal RNA", at positions 899 to 1533 of the family's 1533-position model. Lineage: Bacteria; Pseudomonadati; Pseudomonadota; Gammaproteobacteria; Enterobacterales; Enterobacteriaceae. The record is from RNAcentral.
ACUCAAAUGAAUUGACGGGGGCCCGCACAAGCGGUGGAGCAUGUGGUUUAAUUCGAUGCAACGCGAAGAACCUUACCUGGUCUUGACAUCCACAGAACUUUCCAGAGAUGGAUUGGUGCCUUCGGGAACUGUGAGACAGGUGCUGCAUGGCUGUCGUCAGCUCGUGUUGUGAAAUGUUGGGUUAAGUCCCGCAACGAGCGCAACCCUUAUCCUUUGUUGCCAGCGGUCCGGCCGGGAACUCAAAGGAGACUGCCAGUGAUAAACUGGAGGAAGGUGGGGAUGACGUCAAGUCAUCAUGGCCCUUACGACCAGGGCUACACACGUGCUACAAUGGCGCAUACAAAGAGAAGCGACCUCGCGAGAGCAAGCGGACCUCAUAAAGUGCGUCGUAGUCCGGAUUGGAGUCUGCAACUCGACUCCAUGAAGUCGGAAUCGCUAGUAAUCGUGGAUCAGAAUGCCACGGUGAAUACGUUCCCGGGCCUUGUACACACCGCCCGUCACACCAUGGGAGUGGGUUGCAAAAGAAGUAGGUAGCUUAACCUUCGGGAGGGCGCUUACCACUUUGUGAUUCAUGACUGGGGUGAAGUCGUAACAAGGUAACCGUAGGGGAACCUGCGGUUGGAUCACCUCCUUACCUUAAAGAAGC